Coturnix japonica (Japanese quail) is the source of this 4877-nucleotide non-coding RNA. Lineage: Eukaryota; Metazoa; Chordata; Aves; Galliformes; Phasianidae. The record is from RefSeq and is a predicted model, not a curated record.
ACGCAGAGUUCUAAGAGAAUUCCAUGUGCUAAGGGAAAACAUUUACUGCUCAAUUUCCCUUUUUAUAAAUCAGGGGAGGAAGCAGAUCUAUAGAUCAGUGUCUUCAAACCAUACAUUCAAACUCACAUACAAAAUGUACAGGAACUAUAGAGAAACCAGGGGAGCAGAAAGAGGGAGAAAGGAAGAGCACUGCAUUGCAUCCUGCCAAAGGGCUGCCCCAGCCACACAGAGGCGCAGAAAUAGCUGAACUACCAGAACACGCUGGCCAUAUCCCCAGUACCAAGGGACUUUGCAAGGCAAUGCUAUGCUACCCAUACCAGGUCUACACCUGUCAGAAAUUUCCCAAAUGUCAGAGUAAUCCCAUUCCAUGCUUUAUGCAGGGUGGCUGUUUAGAUACUCUACUGAAAAAAAAAGAGGAAUUCUUAUCAGUAUACCACCAGUACGUGGAUCGAGCAGUUAGCAGUGCUCUGCUUUUUGCUGUUGUCUUUGCAAAUCUCUUCAAACAAGUAUUAUUCUCUCCAGAUACGCUUAAGUAUUCUGACCCCAUCUCAUGUGACUUAUGCUACAUUUGUAGUGAUAUAUUUAUCAGUUGCAACCUGGUAUCCUAGAAAUAAUGAAUUCAAGUAGCAAACUGUAACAAUAAGCCAAGGGAAGAGUUCACCAAGAUGUUCCAACAUAAAUGCUCUUGCAAGUUUAGUAAACAGAGCUAGAAAAUAGCAGUUGAGUUGUAUACUAUCUCUGUCAUAGCCAGAGAAGGACACAAAGAAGACAUUAGCACACUGAAAGUAAUACAUUCUGAUUCCGACAUCCCAUCUGAGUUGGAGCUACUUAAUUUAAGGAACAAAAAGAGACAUUUGAGUGUGUAAUGUUAUAACAUGAUGGAAUGUACAGCGAUAACAGCAGGGUGGCAAAGUCUCUGUCUACAGUAAAUGAGGACAAGCACAUCCACAGAUGCAGAAAUAAAGUUAAAGAGCUGCUUACCUUCAGAAAGGUUCAGGUAGGCAGGCAUCUCCAGCAAGAUACCUAUACCUCCACUGCCAACCCUUACAUGAGGUCUGAGAAGGGGUGCAUCCUACUCCGUGGUUUCUGGUCACUCAGGUAUGCAUGCACCUGAGCUCCCCUGGGUUGGCCCUGCCUUCCCACCAGGUGCUCAAUCAUUGCUUAAAGACAUCAUUUACCAUUUCUGCUACACUCUGCAAGUGUGACUUCAAGAAAAAAUCUAAAGCCUUUUCCUUGUUUCUACACGCUACCCACAUCCUCACUCAUCCCAAAUUAUCAAACAUCCAGGAACACUUGCAGCUGUUCAUCCUUGGUGCUUCCAUCUUGCAAAUACCAUCACUCACAAAACACAACUUCAUCAACCAAACUGCAAGCACUAAGGUGCUAUUUCCUGCUCAUUUUGGGGCCUGCAAUGCCUUUAUCGGUAUGGGUAAACAUUAAGUCUGAAUACUACCCAUACUCAAUUCAAGAGCAUUCUCUUUACAAUGGACUGCACAGAGAAGCAUUGCGCACAGCAGGCAAACUAACAGUCAUUCCCUGCCCACCAGUGUUUGCCACUGUUUGGAACGAAUGUAAUAUUCCCCCCCUAGGCUUCUGAUCAGUUACAUUAUCGGUUCAUUUGUGAGCCAGAAAGCACAAUGUGGCACAGAGCUCCAAGCUGGUACUUCUGCUUUCUUUGCUGCCCUUGUAAAAGCUACAAGAUGCGAUCAGCAUUUCAGGCUCUACACAGCUGGUACAGUCAGCAGCAGCUAAUUGCUGUUUAUAAAAUGCAGAACUGUGUGUUCCUGCAGCUACAAGUUACAUCACUCUUUGGCUGUGCCUGUUAUUUAUCAAGGCAACAAAUAAAGAACAAACACCCAAAACCACACCGUGAUACUUUAUAUGGGCUUGUAUGGGUCAGGGAGCGGCGAGGAGGAGCAAGGGUCUCAAGACACAGUUGCCAUCACCUUACCUCUGGGAACCUUCUGCUUCAGCCUUCCCACCUGAGCAGCGACCAGAUGGGCGCACAGAUACACUUAGUGGGCAGAUGGCUGCAAAUGCCCAAAAUAAUGAUAAUAAUAAUAAAAGAACUGCGAAAGGCCUCGACACCACGAGCAGGCCCGCUUCCCGCCGCUCCCUGCGGCUCUGAGGAGGCCGGGCAGGCGCGAGGGCGGCACGGGGCCGUUGGGCAGCACGCGCCUUUCCCGCCCAACCCUCAAGGAGCCCCUCCUCAGAGCGGCCCCCGCGCGGCGGUUUGAAUAAUGGCACUUAAAGCUGUUCAAAAGAACCAAGAAACACCGAGAUCUCUCUAUGACUAGAACAGUUCCACACCUUACAGUAUCCACUAGAAUAUUUUGUAGUACAGACAGAAGUUGUCUUACACUGCUGGCACGAACUUCUGCUGUUUCCCCACAGCCCAACCCAUUCCUCUACCAGAAUCUGACAUCAGUUUUAAAAUGAAGCAAAAUGUUAGACCUUGAGUUCUCAGAGUUUUCUUUGUCAGUCUGAGGAUUAGAAACAUAACUGGAUGUUGUCCCUCAUGUCUUUGCUUCUAAUUUCUCCUUAUUGUUUGAGGAAACCUCGACCUUGUGCUAAUGGAAGCUCCCAGCUGCUGGGGAACUUACAUCUCCUGUAGCAGGUGUUAAUUGUGGAGAGACUAACGAGCAGAUCCACUGCAGCUCCUUUUUCUGUGUGUUGAUGGAGUGGUUGGAUCAGAGCAACUUGAAGAACAGGAACAAUCCAGCAGUGACCUAAUCAAAUAUAUACCCCAGGACUUGGGCAGAUGAAAGGAAGCGUAGAGCUACUUGAGCAGUCUUCUGCAUCGCUGGACCCAGACCAGCCCCACUAUAAAACCUCAUGUGAGCAGCAAACUGAAGGCUACAUCUUUUCAAAAGAUCUGCAGCAAUUAGAAGCAGCUGGAGUUUAAUGAAGCACUGCAAGACUUUAUCUGCCUAAGACUCACCUAAGCACCCAGCCAAUGGUACUCUGCAUUUACAUUAUGACAGCUGUUGGUAUAGCUUUACAGAGCCUGUUUGCUAUUAAAAUAGUUUUAACUUACCCUAACUUUGCAGUUUUGAGUGAUAUUAUUUGGUACAUCUGUUUAAAUAUAUACUGCGAACUCUGAUUUAUUAGAAAAUGACAAAUGAAUAAGACAUUGCAAAAGCAUUUUUCUCUAUAAAGUAUUAUCUGCUAGAUCUCCUCUUUCCCUAUCAUCUCUACUUCUGUGGGACUUCCGUAUGACUGGUUGUUUUCAGAGGCAUAACCAAAAGUGUUAGCAAUAGAACUUCACUUAUUUCAAACUGUUAUAAUCUUAAACCAGCAAAAUAUCUGAAGUUUCUUUAGCUCAAAGUCAAGAUCAAAAUUGAUAAACGUGCUUUUGGCUCAAUCCCUUAGCAAAAACAUGGAAAACAGCUUGAAACACUUCUUUCUCCUACUGAACUUUCCCAAGGUAUUCUGGACCACAGUAAAAAGUCACACCAGGAAUAGUUGGAAUUGACUGGUGUGUUUUUGGAUACACUGAAUUGCAUGAUCAUAAAAAUCUCAAGCUAGAUACAAUUAACCUAAUUUUGGCCUCUUGAUUACGAGGGCAGUGCAAAUUAGUACAAAUUCUGUUUUCUAACUUGAGGCCAGCACCAGCUGUGAACUUCAGUAGGUUAACAACUCAUGGUUCUGGACCUCUGUGACUGGAACAUGUUGGCUGGCCUGCUGAGGAGUCCCUGUAGGCUCUCUGAAGUCAGUCAGGUAAGGAGAUUACAGCAGCAGUGUUAUGUUAAUCUAGAGAAGCAAACAGGCUGGACUGACAAAGUACAUAUGCACAGUGUUCAGCAUUACUGCAGAACUUGGUGACUGCACGGCUGUUCUGUGGACUUUGUGUACUCAGGAUUAACAGAGAUUACAGAGAAGUUAAAAAUAACUAAUAUGGGCAAGAAAGACACUUGCCAAAAUUGGAAGUAUUUCUACUUAUAUUCUAGAAGUGCAUAAUGAUUGCUAAUACUGAUGACUGAGCCUCCACAUUACCACUGCCUGCAUCUGCUCGUUCAUACAAGUGAGUGCGUGCUUCCCUGGAUGAAAGCAACAUCUGAAGGGAACUCUGUGGCAGAAGAUGCACUCUGAACUCUGACUGCAUUAUGAAAACAAUAAAACUGGGAAAAUAUACCUGCUAAAACUGACAUCUACUUCAGAUACUGCGUUCUGUUUUACUGAAUAUUUUUAUCCCUAUUUCUACUGCAAUGAGAGAUGAGCCUCAUCCCCCCAAAAAACUCUGCUUCUUGGCCAGUUAACUUCUAACAUUUAUAAUUAUCAAUUGUAAUGACUGCAAGGUUUUAAGGAAACUUAUUCUACAAAGACGGUGGCUGAGGCAGAAUCAAUACGAACAUUAGUUUCUAAAACAAAAAAUAUAUUAAUCCAAAACCAUGAAUUAUUUAGCAGAUGCUGAAAGCUGCUUCAGAUGCCUCAGCAUCAUGUGCUUCAGCACGUUCCUCUGUGCAUCAUAAUCAAAUUCCUUAAAAAAUGGUAGGGAUUUUUGUUGAUGGUUUCACUCAGGUUUUUGAACAGUCUUUGUACAUCGUGGUACAGGAAUAUUUCAGAAAGAAGCUAACAAUAGCUGUGCAGACAUCUCACUCAUGAGCUCUAGAGGGGACUGAAUUCAGUCAGAUGUUUUUCUCAGAGAUUUCAAUUAGCUGCGAGUUCAUUUCAUCUCUUCACACCAACACAAGCUUACCGCCUUAUGCUCAACUUGUGUCUACAAGAAAUUAUCCAUAAAUGUUUUAAGUUCUUGUUCUUGUACUUAAGACCAGCAGUAUAUCAGUUGCAUAAACCAUGAGCUCCAUUUUCCAAUACAAAGCUGGGAAGAUUGACCUAUUUCUGGCUAUUAGAAUCAUAGCUACUUCGCAAAUAAA